GCCAAUGUGGCAUAGUGGUUUUGUGCUGGACUCUGGAGACCUGGGUUCGAUUCCCAGCUUGGCCA
RNAcentral lists this transfer RNA (65 nucleotides) under Phrynosoma platyrhinos (Desert horned lizard). RNAcentral describes it as "tRNA-OTHER". It matches the Rfam family "tRNA". Rfam says of the family: Transfer RNA (tRNA) molecules are approximately 80 nucleotides in length. Their secondary structure includes four short double-helical elements and three loops (D, anti-codon, and T loops). The record is from RNAcentral. Lineage: Eukaryota; Metazoa; Chordata; Lepidosauria; Squamata; Phrynosomatidae.